GGUCAAAAAACGUGUUGAAAAACAAGUCAAAAAAGUAAAAAAUAUUCAUGAAAAAAAGUUGAAAAAUAUUAGGUCAAAAACGGUUUUGAAAAAAAGCUAAAAUAUGUUUAGGGUUGGCUCAGGGUUAUAGUUUCUUGCUGGCUCAUUUUAAUGGUUAGGGCUGGACGGUGGAAGGUGAAAGAACAAAAUAAUAUGUUUGGCCGGUUUACAGGAAACCAUGAAACCAGAACACGGUGCCUCUGUAACAUCAAGCACCAGCAUGAGGGAGUGACGCUGUGUAAUGUGAGGCCCGUUAUGCUGCACUUCAGCUUUUUUAUUUGGAAUUCAAACGUUGAGUCAUUUCUUCUUGUGUCACACAGAAAGGUUUGCUAUGUUAUACAUAUAUAAUCAAAUAUCUAGCAUCCAAAUUCUUUGGCAAGUUUUAGUUUUAUUAAAAUUCGAUAAUAGUAGAUAAUGGAUUGCUUCUCUAAUCCAAACUUUUCCUUUUACCUACACUUACACACAGAACCAGUCAAAGGGUUGGAUACACAUUCUGAUGGAAUUGAAUGAGAAAAUGUGUCAAAAUCUUUGCUGGUACUGUAAAUAUCACAAUAAGUAAUCUUCAUAUUCAUGGUCCUCAGAUGAUGGAUCUUCAUGUUUUUUAAUUAAUUGUUUUCUAUCCUGUGUCAAGUACAGAAUGCUUCUUCUUUCACAGAGCGGAAUGCUUCACGAGAAGUCCGACAUGCAGGACCCCCUAACUCCAGGAUGCUGCAGAACUACAGGAUGCUGAGGACUCCAGGAUGCUGAGGACUACAGGAUGCUACAGAACUCCAGGAUGCUGAGGACUAAAGGAUGCUGAGGAAUACAGGAUGCUGAGGACUAAAGGAUGCUGAGGAAUACAGGAUGCUGCAGAACUCCAGGAUGCUGAGGACUCCAGGAUGCUGAGGACUCCAGGAUGCUGAGGACUAAAGGAUGCUACAGAACUCCAGGAUGCUGAGGACUCCAUGAUGCUGAGGACUAAAGGAUGCUGAGGACUACAGGAUGCUACAGAACUCCAGGAUGCUGCAGAAUUACAGGAUGCUGAGGACUCCAGGAUGCUGAGGACUCCAGGAUGCUGAGGACUCCAGGAUGCUGAGGACUCCAGGAUGCUGAGGACUCCAGGAUGCUGCAGAACUCCAGGAUGCUACAGAACUACAGGAUGCUGAGGACUACAGGAUGCUACAGAACUCCAGGAUGCUGCAGGACUACAGGAUGCUGCAGGACUACAGGAUGCUGCAGGACUCCAGGAUGCUGAGGACUCCAUGAUGCUGAGGACUCCAUGAUGCUGAAGACUGUAGGAUGCUGAGGACUAAAGGAUGCUACAGAACUCCAGGAUGCUGAGGACUACAGGAUGCUGAGUACUACAGGAUGCUGCAGGACUACAGGAUGCUGAGUACUACAGGAUGCUGCAGGACUACAGGAUGCUGAGUACUACAGGAUGCUGCAGGACUCCAGGAUGCUGAGGACUCCGGGAUGCGACACCCAUCCACCUUUUUCCGUUUUGUAACAUUUGCAGCACAACAAUGAUGUAAGGCCUCCAGUGAACUGCAGAGGGAGCAAAGGGCAGAAUGCAGGAAUGCAGGAGGCUCACAAAGUGUGCAGAAAGGAGGCUUUCAAACGAAGGCCGCC
Gasterosteus aculeatus aculeatus (three-spined stickleback) is the source of this 1647-nucleotide long non-coding RNA. Lineage: Eukaryota; Metazoa; Chordata; Actinopteri; Perciformes; Gasterosteidae. The record is from Ensembl.